GAUGAAGAACGUAGCGAAAUGCGAUAACUAAUGUGAAUUGCAGAAUUCCGUGAAUCAUCGAGUCUUUGAACGCACAUUGCGCCCCCUGGUAUUCCGGGGGGCAUGCCUGUCCGAGCGUCAUUGCUGCCCUCAAGCACGGCUUGUGUGUUGGGCCCCGUCCUCCGAUCCCGGGGGACGGGCCCGAAAGGCAGCGGCGGCACCGCGUCCGGUCCUCGAGCGUAUGGGGCUUUGUCACCCGCUCUGUAGGCCCGGCCGGCGCUUGCCGAUCAACCCAAAUUUUUUAUCCAGGUUGACCUCGGAUCAGGUAGGGAUACCCGCUGAACUUAAGCAUAUCAAUAAGCGGAGGA
This 347-nucleotide unclassified non-coding RNA is filed under the name soil metagenome. RNAcentral describes it as "partial contains 5.8S ribosomal RNA, internal transcribed spacer 2, and large subunit ribosomal RNA". The stretch from base 1 to 120 matches the Rfam family "5.8S ribosomal RNA", at positions 35 to 154 of the family's 154-position model. The record is from RNAcentral.